Molecule: ribosomal RNA, 429 nt
Filed under: Pseudomonadota bacterium
Lineage: Bacteria; Pseudomonadati; Pseudomonadota
Description: Proteobacteria bacterium partial 16S ribosomal RNA
Rfam family: Bacterial small subunit ribosomal RNA
Source: RNAcentral
UGGGGAAUAUUGGACAAUGGGCGAAAGCCUGAUCCAGCCAUGCCGCGUGUGUGAAGAAGGUCUUCGGAUUGUAAAGCACUUUAAGUUGGGAGGAAGGGCAGUAAGCGAAUACCUUGCUGUUUUGACGUUACCGACAGAAUAAGCACCGGCUAACUCUGUGCCAGCAGCCGCGGUAAUACAGAGGGUGCAAGCGUUAAUCGGAAUUACUGGGCGGAAAGCGCGCGUAGGUGGUUCGUUAAGUUGAAUGUGAAAGCCCCGGGCUCAACCUGGGAACUGCAUCCAAAACUGGCGAGCUAGAGUAGGGCAGAGGGUGGUGGAAGUUCCUGUGUAGCGGUGAAAUGCGUAGAUAUAGGAAGGAAGACCAGUGGCGAAGGCGACCACCUGGGCUCAUACUGACACUGAGGUGCGAAAGCGUGGGGAGCAAACAGG